GAUGAACGCUGGCGGCGUGCCUAAUACAUGCAAGUCGAGCGAACGGACGAGAAGCUUGCUUUUCUGAUGUUAGCGGCGGACGGGUGAGUAACACGUGGAUAACCUACCUAUAAGACUGGGAUAACUUCGGGAAACCGGAGCUAAUACCGGAUAAUAUUUUGAACCGCAUGGUUCAAAAGUGAAAGACGGUCUUGCUGUCACUUAUAGAUGGAUCCGCGCUGCAUUAGCUAGUUGGUAAGGUAACGGCUUACCAAGGCAACGAUGCAUAGCCGACCUGAGAGGGUGAUCGGCCACACUGGAACUGAGACACGGUCCAGACUCCUACGGGAGGCAGCAGUAGGGAAUCUUCCGCAAUGGGCGAAAGCCUGACGGAGCAACGCCGCGCGAGUGAUGAAGGUCUUCGGAUCGUAAAACUCUGUUAUUAGGGAAGAACAUAUGUGUAAGUAACUGUGCACAUCUUGACGGUACCUAAUCAGAAAGCCACGGCUAACUACGU
Molecule: ribosomal RNA, 496 nt
Filed under: uncultured bacterium
Lineage: Bacteria
Description: partial 16S ribosomal RNA
Rfam family: Bacterial small subunit ribosomal RNA
Source: RNAcentral